UAAUCAGAUAGAGGCGCAUUGUCAAUAAUUAGCACUUUUGAGUACGAUAGGGUACAGAGAUUUAGUGUAAAAGGUGACAAUGCCGAAAUUAUUUUACCCCUAUUGGUAAUGUAGUUGGGCCGUUAUUUAAUAAGUAACGGACUGUCGCACAUUGGUGCGUUGGGCUAUUGAUCAU
RNAcentral lists this non-coding RNA (175 nucleotides) under Companilactobacillus nodensis. RNAcentral's name for it is "Lactobacillus nodensis Lysine sequence". It matches the Rfam family "Lysine riboswitch aptamer". From Rfam's summary of the family: Riboswitches are metabolite binding domains within certain messenger RNAs that serve as precision sensors for their corresponding targets. Allosteric rearrangement of mRNA structure is mediated by ligand binding, and this results in modulation of gene expression. Lineage: Bacteria; Bacillati; Bacillota; Bacilli; Lactobacillales; Lactobacillaceae. The record is from RNAcentral.